UAGGGAAUCUUCCACAAUGGACGCAAGUCUGAUGGAGCAACGCCGCGUGAGUGAAGAAGGUUUUCGGAUCGUAAAGCUCUGUUGUUGGUGAAGAAGGAUAGAGGCAGUAACUGGUCUCUAUUUGACGGUAAUCAACCAGAAAGUCACGGCUAACUACGUGCCAGCAGCCGCGGUAAUACGUAGGUGGCAAGCGUUGUCCGGAUUUAUUGGGCGUAAAGCGAGCGCAGGCGGAAUGAUAAGUCUGAUGUGAAAGCCCACGGCUCAACCGGGGAACUGCAUCGGAAACUGUCAUUCUUGAGUGCAGAAGAGGAGAGUGGAAUUCCAUGUGUAGCGGUGGAAUGCGUAGAUAUAUGGAAGAACACCAGUGGCGAAGGCGGCUCUCUGGUCUGCAACUGACGCUGAGGCUCGAAAGCAUGGGUAGCGAACAGG
This 429-nucleotide ribosomal RNA is filed under the name bacterium. RNAcentral describes it as "partial 16S ribosomal RNA". It matches the Rfam family "Bacterial small subunit ribosomal RNA", at positions 355 to 776 of the family's 1533-position model. The record is from RNAcentral.